RNAcentral lists this ribosomal RNA (468 nucleotides) under uncultured bacterium. RNAcentral describes it as "partial 16S ribosomal RNA". It matches the Rfam family "Bacterial small subunit ribosomal RNA", at positions 28 to 507 of the family's 1533-position model. The record is from RNAcentral.
GACGAACGCUGGCGGCGUGCUUAACACAUGCAAGUCGAACGGAAAGGCCCUGCUUUUGUGGGGUGCUCGAGUGGCGAACGGGUGAGUAACCCGUGAGUAACCUGCCCUUGACUUUGGGAUAACUUCAGGAAACUGGGGCUAAUACCGGAUAGGAGCUCCUGCUGCAUGGUGGGGGUGGGAAAGUUUCGGCGGUUGGGGAUGGACUCGCGGCGUAUCAGCUUGUUGGUGGGGUAGUGGCUUACCAAGGCUUUGACGGGUAGCCGGCCUGAGAGGGUGACAGGCCAAAUUGGGACUGAGAUACGGCACAGACUCCUACGGGAGGCAGCAGUGGGGAAUAGUGCACAAUGGACGGAAGGAUGAUGCAGCAACGCCGCGUGCGGGAUGACGGCCUUGGGGUUGUAAACCGCUUUCGCCUGUGACGAAGCGUGAGUGACGGUAAUGGGUAAAGAAGCACCGGCUAACUACGUG